Sitophilus oryzae (rice weevil) is the source of this 307-nucleotide long non-coding RNA. RefSeq lists it as uncharacterized. The transcript has 2 exons. The record is from RefSeq and is a predicted model, not a curated record. NCBI's taxonomy places the organism in Eukaryota, Metazoa, Arthropoda, Insecta, Coleoptera, Curculionidae.
UGGAAAUAAUUUGAACUAGCUGAUUUUUAGAAAAGUGUAUUUUGCCACGCAAACCUAUUAUAACUUUUAGAUAAGUUAAAAGUUUUGAUUAAGCAGCAUACAAAAAUACCAUAAUGUUUACUGAUGUGCAUUUAGCUGUUCUAUCCAAUGCCCUAGGAAUAGUACUAUUUCUUCUAGUUGUCUUGUAUCACUAUGUAAAUUCCAACAACCUAAGGCAGAGUACUUAAGUCGAUAAUUAAUAUGAAAAUAAUACAAAUGUGCUUAAUGCAAAUCUUUAUUUAAUAUAUGGAGCUUUUUAUAAUUUAAA